RNAcentral lists this ribosomal RNA (1361 nucleotides) under uncultured bacterium. Its description in RNAcentral is "bacterial SSU rRNA". It matches the Rfam family "Bacterial small subunit ribosomal RNA". The record is from RNAcentral.
CGUAUUAUAUUUCUAUAUAAUAAGUAGCGAACGGGUGAGGAAUAUAUAAAUAUUUACUUUAUAAUUUGGAAUAAAAUACCAAAUAAUAAUAUAUUUUUUUUUAUGUUAUAAGCAUAGCAUAAAGGUAUAUUAUAAAGAUUUAUCGUUAUAAAAUAAUUUUAUAUAAGAUUAGGUAGUUGGAGAGGUAAAAGCUUUCCAAGCCAAUGAUCUUUAAUUGGUCUGAAAGGAUGUACAAUCACAUUGGGACUGAGAUACGGCCCAAGUUCUAUAAAGAAACAGCAGUGAGGAAUAUUAGACAAUGAGCGAAAGCUUGAUCUAGCGACACCCAGUUAGUGACAUAAGUAAGAAGAAGGCCAUUAAUUUGGUUGUAAAGCUAUUCUAUUAAAAAGGAUAAUGACAGUAUUUAAAAAAAGAAGUCCCGGCUAACUUCGUGCCAGCAGCCGCGGUAAUACGAAGGGGACAAGUGUUAUUCGGAGUAAUUUGGCGUAAAGGGUUUGAAGAUUGUUUGGUUUAAAAUUUUUAAUGAAAUCUUGAAUAAUUACUAUUAAUCUUAAGAAGUAUUUUAAAUGCAACUAAACUUGAGAAUAUUGGACGAUAGAAGAAUUUUAAGUGUAGAGAUAAAAUGUUAUGAUAUUUAAAAGAAAACCAACAGCGAAGGCAUCUAUCGAUGUUAUUUCUGACAUUGUAAAACGAAAGUAUAGGUAGCGAAUAGGAUUAGAGACCCUAGUAGUCUAUACUGUAAACGCUGAAUGUUAAAUAUUAGAUUAAAUUAAUUUAGUAUUAAAGUUAACACGUUAAACAUUCCGCCUGAGGAUUACGGUCGCAAGAUUAAAACUCAAAGGAAUUGGCGGGAAUCUGCACAAGCGGUGGGGCAUGUUGUUUAAUUCGAUAAUCCGCGAGAAACCUUACCAACUCUUGACAUACUAUACAGGUGUUGCAUGGCUGUCUUAAGUUCGUGUUGUGAAAUGUGAGAUUAAUUUCUGUAACGGACGAAACCCUUAUUUUUAAUUGCUAAUAAUUAAAUAAAUUAAUUAUGCACUUUAGAAAGACUGCCAUAUAACUAAUAGUAAACUGGAGGAAGGUGAGGAUAACGUCAAGUCUUUAUGGCCUUUAUGAGUUGGGCUACAGACGUGCUACAAUGGUAAUUACAAAUAGAUGCAAAAAUGUAAGUUUUAGCUAAUCUUUAAAAAUUAUCUAAGUUCGGAUUGUAGACUGAAAUUCGUCUACAUGAAGUUGGAAUCGCUAGUAAUCAUAAAAUAGAUCGUUAUGGUGAAUAUGUUCUCAGAUUUUGCACAUACUGCCCGUCACACCAUGGGAGUUAGUAAGCUUAAAGUAUAAUAUUUUGUUAUAAUCAGGAAUAA